This 404-nucleotide ribosomal RNA is filed under the name uncultured bacterium. RNAcentral's name for it is "bacterial SSU rRNA". It matches the Rfam family "Bacterial small subunit ribosomal RNA", at positions 30 to 429 of the family's 1533-position model. The record is from RNAcentral.
AUUGAACGCUGGCGGCAGGCCUAACACAUGCAAGUCGAGCGGCAGCGGGAAAGUAGCUUGCUACUUUUGCCGGCGAGCGGCGGACGGGUGAGUAAUGCCUGGGAAAUUGCCCAGUCGAGGGGGAUAACAGUUGGAAACGACUGCUAAUACCGCAUACGCCCUACGGGGGAAAGGAGGGGACCUUCGGGCCUUUCGCGAUUGGAUGAACCCAGGUGGGAUUAGCUAGUAGGUGAGGUAAAGGCUCACCUAGGCUUCGAUCAGUAGCUGGUCUGAGAGGACGACCAGCCACACUGGAACUGAGACACGGUCCAGACUCCUACGGGAGGCAGCAGUGGGGAAUUUUGGACAAUGGGCGCAAGCCUGAUCCAGCCAUUCCGCGUGAGUGAAGAAGGCCUCGGUGUAAG